GACGGGGCCCGCACAAGCGGUGGAGCAUGUGGUUUAAUUCGAUGCAACGCGAAGAACCUUUACCUGGGCUUGACAUCCCGGGAAUUUCCUGGAAACAGGAGAGUGCUUUCAUUAGAGAGAACCUGGAGACAGGUGCUGCAUGGCUGUCGUCAGCUCGUGUCGUGAGAUGUUGGGUUAAGUCCCGCAACGAGCGCAACCCUUGCCUUUAGUUGCCAGCAGUUCGGCUGGGCACUCUAAAGGGACUGCCGGUGUCAAACCGGAGGAAGGUGGGGAUGACGUCAAGUCCUCAUGGCCUUUAUGGCCAGGGCUACACACGUACUACAAUGGCCGGUACAAAGGGCAGCGACAUUGCGAGAUGGAGCGAAUCCCGAAAAGCCGGUCUCAGUCCGGAUUGGAGUCUGCAACUCGACUCCAUGAAGUUGGAAUCGCUAGUAAUCGUGGAUCAGCAUGCCACGGUCGAAUACGUUCCGGGCCUU
This 476-nucleotide ribosomal RNA is filed under the name uncultured Desulfobulbus sp. RNAcentral describes it as "bacterial SSU rRNA". It matches the Rfam family "Bacterial small subunit ribosomal RNA", at positions 916 to 1381 of the family's 1533-position model. The record is from RNAcentral. Lineage: Bacteria; Pseudomonadati; Thermodesulfobacteriota; Desulfobulbia; Desulfobulbales; Desulfobulbaceae.